GUCGCGGUAGCUCAGUGGUAGAGCAGCGGACUGCAGAGAGAUUGACGCAUAGUCAAAAGUAAUCGAAUUCCGAAGGUCUCCAGUUCAAUUCUGGAUCGCGACU
Molecule: non-coding RNA, 103 nt
Organism: Xylariaceae sp. FL0804
Lineage: Eukaryota; Fungi; Ascomycota; Sordariomycetes; Xylariales; Xylariaceae
Source: the annotation of a GenBank genome assembly